This 497-nucleotide ribosomal RNA is filed under the name uncultured bacterium. RNAcentral's name for it is "partial 16S ribosomal RNA". It matches the Rfam family "Bacterial small subunit ribosomal RNA", at positions 28 to 507 of the family's 1533-position model. The record is from RNAcentral.
GAUGAACGCUGGCGGCGUGCCUAACACAUGCAAGUCGAGCGGACAGACGAGGCGCUUUCUCGUCUGACGUUAGCGGCGGACGAGUGAUUAAUACGUGGAUAACCUACCUCUAAGACUGGGAUAACUACGGGAAACCGGAGUUAAUACCGGAUGAUAUAUUGAACCGCAUGGUUCAUUGGUCUAAGACGGUUUUGCUUUCGCUUAUGGAUGGAUCCGCGUCGCAUUAGCUAGUUGGUAAGGUAACGGCUUACCAAGGCAACGAUGCGUAGCCGACCUGAGAGGGUGAUCGGCCACACUGGAACUGAGACACGGUCCAGACUCCUACGGGAGGCAGCAGUAGGGAAUCUUCCGCAAUGGGCGAAAGCCUGAUGGAGCAACGCCGCGUGGGUGAUGAAGGUCUUCGGAUCGUAAAGCUCUUUUAUUGGGGAAGAAGGAAUGUGUAAUUAUCUAUGCAUGUCUUGACGGUACCUAAUGAGAAAGCCCCGGCUAACUACGUG